RNAcentral lists this ribosomal RNA (498 nucleotides) under uncultured bacterium. RNAcentral's name for it is "partial 16S ribosomal RNA". It matches the Rfam family "Bacterial small subunit ribosomal RNA", at positions 28 to 507 of the family's 1533-position model. The record is from RNAcentral.
GACGAACGCUGGCGGCGUGCCUAAUACAUGCAAGUCGAGCGGACGGAUGGGGGCUUGCUCCCAGACCGUCAGCGGCGGACGGGUGAGUAACACGUGGGCAACCUGCCUGUAAGACUGGGAUAACUCCGGGAAACCGGGGCUAAUACCGGAUAACUCUUUCCCUCACAUGAGGGAAAGCUGAAAGAUGGCAUCUCGCUAUCACUUACAGAUGGGCCCGCGGCGCAUUAGCUAGUUGGUGAGGUAACGGCUCACCAAGGCGACGAUGCGUAGCCGACCUGAGAGGGUGAUCGGCCACACUGGGACUGAGACACGGCCCAGACUCCUACGGGAGGCAGCAGUAGGGAAUCUUCCGCAAUGGACGAAAGUCUGACGGAGCAACGCCGCGUGAGUGAUGAAGGUUUUCGGAUCGUAAAACUCUGUUGUCAGGGAAGAACAAGUACCGGAGUAACUGCCGGUACCUUGACGGUACCUGACCAGAAAGCCACGGCUAACUACGUG